Molecule: ribosomal RNA, 529 nt
Filed under: Salmonella enterica subsp. enterica serovar Stanley
Lineage: Bacteria; Pseudomonadati; Pseudomonadota; Gammaproteobacteria; Enterobacterales; Enterobacteriaceae
Description: partial 23S ribosomal RNA
Rfam family: Bacterial large subunit ribosomal RNA
Source: RNAcentral
GUUAAGUUGCAGGGUAUAGACCCGAAACCCGGUGAUCUAGCCAUGGGCAGGUUGAAGGUUGGGUAACACUAACUGGAGGACCGAACCGACUAAUGUUGAAAAAUUAGCGGAUGACCUGUGGCUGGGGGUGAAAGGCCAAUCAAACCGGGAGAUAGCUGGUUCUCCCCGAAAGCUAUUUAGGUAGCGCCUCGUGAAUUCAUCUCCGGGGGUAGAGCACUGUUUCGGCUAGGGGGCCAUCCCGGCUUACCAACCCGAUGCAAACUGCGAAUACCGGAGAAUGUUAUCACGGGAGACACACGGCGGGUGCUAACGUCCGUCGUGAAGAGGGAAACAACCCAGACCGCCAGCUAAGGUCCCAAAGUCAUGGUUAAGUGGGAAACGAUGUGGGAAGGCCCAGACAGCCAGGAUGUUGGCUUAGAAGCAGCCAUCAUUUAAAGAAAGCGUAAUAGCUCACUGGUCGAGUCGGCCUGCGCGGAAGAUGUAACGGGGCUAAACCAUGCACCGAAGCUGCGGCAGCGACACUGUGUGU